CCUACGGGUGGCAGCAGUGGGGAAUAUUGGGCAAUGGGCGCAAGCCUGACCCAGCAACGCCGCGUGAAGGAAGAAGGCUUUCGGGUUGUAAACUUCUUUUAUCAGGGACGAAGCAAGUGACGGUACCUGAUGAAUAAGCCACGGCUAACUACGUGCCAGCAGCCGCGGUAAUACGUAGGUGGCAUGCGUUAUCCGGAUUUACUGGGUGUAAAGGUCGUGUAGGCGGGAGUGCAAGUCAGAUGUGAAAACUAUGGGCUAAAACCAUAGCCUGCAUUUGAAACUGUAAUUCUUGAGUGCUGGAGAGGCAAGAGGAAUGACGGGGGUAGCGGUGAAAUGCGUAGAUAUACGGAAGAACACCAGUGGCGAAGGCGGA
This 373-nucleotide ribosomal RNA is filed under the name uncultured bacterium. RNAcentral's name for it is "partial 16S ribosomal RNA". It matches the Rfam family "Bacterial small subunit ribosomal RNA", at positions 338 to 725 of the family's 1533-position model. The record is from RNAcentral.